Non-coding RNA from Corylus avellana, 745 nucleotides. NCBI's taxonomy places the organism in Eukaryota, Viridiplantae, Streptophyta, Magnoliopsida, Fagales, Betulaceae. The record is from RefSeq and is a predicted model, not a curated record.
AACAACAGUAAUUGCUCAUGCGAUUAUCUCUUUAAAAAUCCAACCUACUUCCACCAAGAAGUCUCUCCCUCUCUGGAGCUUUCGUUCAUGGGUUUCGAUUGUGGGUUUUUGUUGUUUGUGAGUUUUGGGUUAUUCUUUGCAUAGAAUGGGUUCCGAUUUUUUUUUUUUUUUUUGGGUUCCAAUUUCUUGAUUUUUUUCAUUUUCUUCGAUUUAGCGAAAUUUCUUGAUUUUUGAGUUGUUAGUUUUGAUUGCAAUGAUGGAUUGGGUGUCUUGAUUUUUGAGUUGUAAAUCUGGGUUUUGAUUUAGGUGGCUGAUUUUUGUUUGUUAACAAGAAGCCUUCUUUUCUGGGUUUCAGUUAUGGGUUUGUGAGGAUGAGAAUGAAUUUUAGGUGUGUGACUAAAGUGAUGUUUUGUAAGUUGGCUGAUUGGAGGUUGUAUACUACACAAAAAAUUAGAUGACCUUCCUACUCAAAUUGAAGUUGAACCUGCUCAAAUUGAAGAUGACCUUCAUGAAAUGUGAACCAAAAUGAGAACUUAGUCGAAGAUCAAUGGAACAUCUACAUUUGCAACAUAUUGAGUUGCUGUUUUGGAAGUGCCUUGUGCUGUAUUUUUUUCCUUUUUAUUCAUGUAAUUUUUCUGAUGUAAUGUUUUUAGCACUUUUUUAUGCUAUUGUAUCCGAUUGUGGAGAUACAUACUAGUUGGUAAUGCUAUUGUAUCCAAUUAUGGAGAUACUACUUUCUAUGCUA